GACCUUUUGGACAUAACCUUCAAUGUACCGUAGCAUAUUGUUGGUAUAGAGGUAGUGUGUGAGAUCAGGAACAAAACCAAAGCGAUCACAAACAUUAAUAAGAGGCCGAGCAUCGGGAAGUUUGGCUUCCAUCAAGAAGUUCGAACAAAACCAAAGCGGUCACAAACAUUAAUAAGAGGCCGAGCAUCGGGAAGUUUGGCUUCCAUCAAGAAGUUCUUCGUCUUUUCAGGGUCAUAGAAGUUUGAUUCUCUUGUGACGCGCUCAACUUCCUUGAUUUGUCCAGUCCUGGCAGCUGCCUCAAUAUAUUUGAAGUGAAUAUCAGGAUCCUCACUGCAGGAAAUAAAAAAUGAGUGGUUGACCAA
RNAcentral lists this long non-coding RNA (362 nucleotides) under Nicotiana benthamiana. RNAcentral describes it as "long non-coding RNA (NBEN_LNC029674)". Lineage: Eukaryota; Viridiplantae; Streptophyta; Magnoliopsida; Solanales; Solanaceae. The record is from RNAcentral.